This 142-nucleotide transfer RNA is filed under the name Gagea confusa. Its description in RNAcentral is "tRNA-Leu". Lineage: Eukaryota; Viridiplantae; Streptophyta; Magnoliopsida; Liliales; Liliaceae. The record is from RNAcentral.
CUUCCAAUUCAGAGAAACCCCGGAAUUAAAGGUUCAAGUCCCUCUAUCCCCAAUAAAAGCCUAUUUUUCUUACUAACUUUACUUCCUAACUACUUUUUCUAUUUUUUUAUCUAAAAAUUAAGGGGCUGGGUAAGAUUUUUUA